This 234-nucleotide ribosomal RNA is filed under the name uncultured bacterium. Its description in RNAcentral is "partial 16S ribosomal RNA". It matches the Rfam family "Bacterial small subunit ribosomal RNA", at positions 118 to 347 of the family's 1533-position model. The record is from RNAcentral.
UGAGGAACAUGACCUUCGGCGGGGGAUAGCCGGCCCAACGGCCGGGUAAUACCGCGUACGACCACAUGGGGACAUCCCUGAGUGGUGAAAGCAGCAAUGCGCCGAUGGAGUGCCUCGCGGCCUAUCAACUAGUUGGUGAGGUAACGGCUCACCAAGGCGACGACGGGUAGCUGGUCUGAGAGGAUGGCCAGCCACAGUUGGGACUGAGACACGGCCCAGACCUCCGUAGGGAGG